Molecule: ribosomal RNA, 370 nt
Filed under: Oligodon dorsalis
Lineage: Eukaryota; Metazoa; Chordata; Lepidosauria; Squamata; Colubridae
Description: partial large subunit ribosomal RNA
Rfam family: Bacterial large subunit ribosomal RNA
Source: RNAcentral
AUCAAUUAAACUGAUCUCCUAGUAAAAAAGCUAGAAUUUAACCAUAAGACCAGAAGACCCUGUGAAGCUUAAACUAAAAUAUUAAACCCUAUAAUAACUCCUUUCGGUUGGGGCGACCUUGGAAAAAAAAAGAACUUCCAACAAUACGAUUCCAUCGUACCACACUAUUUAGGCCAACAAGCCAAUUAAUGACCCAGCAAAGCUGAUAAUCGAACCAAGUUACUCCAGGGAUAACAGCGCAAUCCUCUUCAAGAGCCCAUAUCAAAAAGAGGGUUUACGACCUCGAUGUUGGAUCAGGACAUCCUAAUGGUGCAGAUGCUAUUAAGGGUUCGUUUGUUCAACGAUCAACAGUCCUACGUGAUCUGAGUUC